RNAcentral lists this ribosomal RNA (253 nucleotides) under uncultured bacterium. RNAcentral describes it as "partial 16S ribosomal RNA". It matches the Rfam family "Bacterial small subunit ribosomal RNA", at positions 524 to 776 of the family's 1533-position model. The record is from RNAcentral.
GACGAACCGAGCGAACGUUGUUCGGAAUCACUGGGCUUAAAGGGCGCGUAGGCGGGCUGUCAAGUCUGGGGUGAAAUCCCGCGGCUCAACCGUGGAACUGCCUUAGAUACUGACGGCCUCGAGGGAGGUAGGGGCAUGCGGAACUGAUGGUGGAGCGGUGAAAUGCGUUGAUAUCAUCAGGAACUCCGGUGGCGAAGGCGGCGUGCUGGACCUUUUCUGACGCUGAGGCGCGAAAGCUAGGGGAGCAAACGGG